RNAcentral lists this small RNA (175 nucleotides) under Chelonoidis abingdonii (Abingdon island giant tortoise). RNAcentral's name for it is "TUC338 (ENSCABG00000023098.1)". The record is from RNAcentral. Lineage: Eukaryota; Metazoa; Chordata; Testudines; Testudinidae.
AUAUAUGUCUUGAGAGAAUUAAGUCUUCUAUGCAUAGAACAAGCACAGUCCAGUCAGUGUCCGUAGAAGCUUCUCCAUAUUGCCUCACUAGUGUACCUCAGCCUUGAUCAAGUAGGACCAUCUCUAGAGUGAGUGGCUCGUUCAAGACUCCAUACCAGUUUAAUCCUUGAACUCU